RNAcentral lists this long non-coding RNA (1473 nucleotides) under Homo sapiens (human). Its description in RNAcentral is "HSALNT0087632". Lineage: Eukaryota; Metazoa; Chordata; Mammalia; Primates; Hominidae. The record is from RNAcentral.
GCUGCUAGAUUUGAAUGGGCCAGAGCUAGAAAAGGUUUUUCUACAGGUUCAAAUUUCAGUACAAGCAGCCCUGACACCUGAGCCAUAGGAACAGCAGAUCCAAAGCUAUGAGAAUAUCUUGAUAGAGAAGGAUUCGGUGUUACCACUCUGGAAAGUGCCAAUAUGAGUGUCAUUCCAAGGAACUCUAAAAUUCUGGAGCAAAGCCGUACUAUCUGCAGCAGAGAACUACACAUCACUUAAAAAGCAACUGUAGGCAUGCUAUGGGUCCUGACAGAAAGUUCCCAAACAUGGAGAUUUCAAAUGACCAUGCAAUCAGGGUCCUCCAUCAUGAGCUGAAUAAUAUCAGACCUACCAAGUCAUAAUAUUAGGUAAGUCCAACAGCAAUCUAUUACAAAGUACAGGUGGUACAUCUGGAAUCAAGCUUCAGUAGGUUCACAUGGUAUAAGUAAGCUUGCAUCAAGAGAUGGCCUAGAAACCCUAUCAUCUGCCACAAUUGAAACAAUGCCACUCUCUUGGCUCAUAUUGAUGACCUUAUGGGAGAGUGCCAAGACAUGCUAACGAAGAGGAAAUGGCAUGAGGUUUGUUCUCAGAUGGUUCAACUUGGCAUGGGAGAGAGCCAAAUAUAAACACUCAUGUACUACAGCCCCACUCAAAGGUGGCUCUUAUCAGAAAGGGAAAAUUCUUCCCAAGCGCAUAGCUUCAGAAAGUGCAACUUAUCACCUUUCCGUGAAAGAGAAAAGUGGCCUAAGGAGAUAAUCCAGUCCAGAAGCAGGUGUUAAUAGAAAGAGCUCAGAGAAACUGUUGGUGCUAUCCAACAAGCAAACACGCAUCAAGACAAGCAAAGAAAUACAGACAGAACUUUAAAAUGAAGACAUUCUAAGAUCUCACUUUUAACUGAUAACCUGGAGGCAACGUUUACCAAGAUGGAUGGGCACAUAUCUAGGAACUGUCAAAAUCCAGGAAUGCUGGAAGAAGUAUGCAUUUGAGGACACUUAAGAAAUCAACUAUGAGUUUGAAACCAAGUUACAAAAGGAGAGAGCAACCACAUUUUUCAAAGAGAUUUUCUUUUGUCAUGGCCCAAUUCGAUCUUCACAGCGGACAACAUACAGCCGGAUAUCGUGCUUUGUACAAAUUGAAGUUUUGCAUCAACCCUGCUUCAAGCAAGUCUAUUGGCACCAUUUUCCCAACAGCGUGUGUUCAUUUUGUGUCACUGUGUCAUAUUUUGGUAAUUCUCAUAACAUUCCAAAUUUUGCCAUUAUAUCUAUUGUGGUGAUCUGUGAUCUGUGAUCACCACAAUUGCUUUUGUUUUUGUAACCAUUGUAAUUGUUUUGGGGUGCCAUGCACAAACUGAACCAAUAUAAAAGAUGGGAACAUUAAUUGAUAAACGUUAUAUGUGUUCUGACUGCUCCACCAACUGGCCAUUCAUCUCUCUCCUCCUCAGGCCUCUGUAUUCUCUGAGACACAAUAUUAAAA